UGCCUUGAAUAAACACACAGUGCGCUCCUUUUCAGGGUUCUUUUCAUAUUUUGAUAACACUUUGCAGAUUAUUCUUUUAUUUCCUCUUUGUAGCAUGUCAUGGACUUGCAAGACUUUCAUAUUUACUUAUUUGUAUUUAUCCUCUCUCCAGAUUACUACCCCUUUGAGCCUUUGAAACCUUGCGUUCCCUUUCUCUAUACAUCCAACGGUAAACCAACUGGGAACUUUUGUGCCAACACACGUAGACAAGACAAGACAAGAGUUCAAAGACGCUGUCGAAAUAGGUGUAUUUUUAAACAUACAGUUGUUUAAAAGAACCGUGGAGAGUUUGUACUUUUGCAAAAUGCAUUUUCUUUCAUGGUAGGGAAUCCAUAUUUGAUUAUUUCAAAAUUCUCACUUUUGUUUAGGUGCAUCAGGAAUGCACACACACACACACACACGGAUCAGCAAUAUGUGUGUAUGCAUUUUUUUUUUUUUUUUUUUUUUUUAGUGGCAAAAAAUCAAAUUGGGCUCCGCAAAGAGGAGAAAAGGAUGGAAUCAAAUUUGGGGUCUUGUAGCUAUCACACUCUGUUUAAUUGCCAGUCUUAACGGGAUGAGCACUGGAACAUGUCCGGGCAGAUUCAGGCAGCUGGUGAAAACUCAUGAAUCCUCCGCAGCACAGAAGAUUUGGAUUUGGCUUGCUGGAUGCCUGGUGACUAAUGAAGGAAGCCCCUUCGCUGGACAGACUGUCCCGGGGCACAAGGUGGUGUCGAUAGCAAAUCUGAUCGGAAUGAAUUAUGUCAGAGUUGACUUCUAUGGAAUUUAAGAUCUCAGAAAUGAAGAUGCAGCUGAGUUUUCUGUGCUUUCAACGUCUCUUUUAAUAAGUCUUCACAGCCUAUAGAAAGUGCAUAUUGCUUUACUUAAAACAUCAGGACAUUUAUAAAUCUAUCUUCUAUAGAUAUAUCCUAUAAAUUUUCUUCUUAUUAACCGAUGGGGACAUGUGACUUGGAAUUCUACAGAUAAUCUUCAAUGCCUAAUAUAUAGGUUAAUACAACUAAAAACUAAAUUAAAAUAAAAAACAAAAUAGAUGCAAAAGACUAAUCUUCCAGGAAAAAAAAAAACACCCACAAUUAAUAGAGCAAUGAUCUCCUAGUAGCUAUACUUAAUUC
Long non-coding RNA from Canis lupus familiaris (dog), 1148 nucleotides. RefSeq lists it as uncharacterized. The transcript is spliced from 2 exons. The record is from RefSeq and is a predicted model, not a curated record. Lineage: Eukaryota; Metazoa; Chordata; Mammalia; Carnivora; Canidae.